GACACCACAAUACACAAGAUGUCCGCCAGAAAAUUACGAGCGAAAAGCUUAAAAUUCAAAGGACUUGGCGGUGCUCCAUAUCCGACUUAGAGGAGCCUGUCCUAUAAUCGAUAAUCCACGCUAAACCUCACCAUUCAUUGCCAAAAUCAGCCUAUAUACCGCCGUCGUCAACUUACCCCAUGAGGGGUCAACAGUAAGUAUAAUAGUUUAAACACUAAAACGUCAGGUCAAGGUGUAGCUUAUAGAAUGGAAGAGAUGGGCUACAUUUUUUAAAAUAAAACAUACGGCAUGGGACUAUGAAAACCAGCCCCUAAAGGAGGAUUUAAUAGUAAAAUUAACAAGAAAAUUAAUUU
This 353-nucleotide ribosomal RNA is filed under the name Callisaurus draconoides. RNAcentral's name for it is "partial 12S ribosomal RNA". It matches the Rfam family "Bacterial small subunit ribosomal RNA", at positions 842 to 1363 of the family's 1533-position model. Lineage: Eukaryota; Metazoa; Chordata; Lepidosauria; Squamata; Phrynosomatidae. The record is from RNAcentral.